UACGAAGGGGGGCUAGCGUUGUUCGGAUUUACUGGGCGUAAAGCGCACGUAGGCGGACUAUUAAGUCAGGGGUGAAAUCCCGGGGCUCAACCCCCGGAACUGUCCUUUGAUACUGGUAGUCUUGAGUUCGAGAGAGGUGAGUGGAAUUCCGAGUGUAGAGGUGAAAUUCGUAGAUAUUCGGAGGAACACCAGUGGUGAAGGCGGCUCACUGGCUCGAUACUGACGCUGAGGUGCGAAAGCGUGGGGAGCAAGCAGGAUUAGAUACCCUGGUAGUCCACGCCGUAAACUAUGAGAGCUAGCCGUCGGGCAGUAUACUGUUCGGUGGCGCAGCAAACGCAUUAAGCUCUCCGCCUGGGGAUACGGUCGCAAGAUUAAAACUCA
This 381-nucleotide ribosomal RNA is filed under the name uncultured bacterium. RNAcentral's name for it is "bacterial SSU rRNA". It matches the Rfam family "Bacterial small subunit ribosomal RNA", at positions 524 to 903 of the family's 1533-position model. The record is from RNAcentral.